AGAAGGCUCCACGUCUUCAACUUUUGAGAACCCGGUUUUUGGUUUAACUUUUGAAGAAACCCUAAAAGUUCCCCACCGCCGCUACCAUUCCUUCUUCUCUCCUCUUCCCUCGCUCAACCAUUCUUCUUCUCAAUCACUCAUCCAUGGUUCCUGAUCUGAAGCACCCUAUUAGCAGAUCUGAACCCCCUUUUGAAGAAACCCUAAAAGUUCCCCACCGCCGCUAACAUUCGUUCUUCUCUCCUCUGCACUCGCUCAACCAUUCUUCUUAUGUUUCUUUGUGAUUAUUAUUUUGCACUCCACAUGUUUGAUACUUUGUCUCACAGAGGCCUUAACUCUUAAGGUGGUUUUUAUGAAUUUUGAUGCAAAAAUAGUGGCUGGGAACCACAAAUCGGCGACUGUGGUGACUUGCGGUGGUGGUUCUUGACUUCGACCAUGACAAUGGAAGACACCGGGUGCAAAUCCACGACGAGUUUUUUAGACGAAUGGAAGCGGUGGUGGUGACUACCGACGGUGGAGAUGACCUCCAACCGCUGGACAAGUGAUGAUUGACGAUGAUAGUAGCUUGGGUGGUGGUUUUGGAAGGAUUGGGUGCUGGUCUACCAUGUUUGGAUGCAACUGGAGGUUGUUUGGUCAGGGAGUUACCGAACCAAUGCUUUACAUAGGGAUGCUGUUCAGUAUGUUUGCUUGGCAUGUAGAAGACCAUUACUUAUAUAGCAUUAAUUACCAUCAUUGUGGAUCUGAAAAAACCUGGUACGGUGUUCCGGGUCACGCUGCACUAGAUUUCGAAAAAGUCGUUCGUUAAAAGGUGUCAUGAUACUCUGUCAACUGAAGGAGAAGACGGCGCUUUUGAUGUUCUCCUAGGAAAAACAACCUUAUUUCCUCCUAAUAUUUUGUCACAACACGGCGUUCCGGGUUACAAGGUUGUCCAAAAGCCCAGGGAAUAUGUCGUCAUGUUCCCCCGCGCAUAUCAUGCAGGAUUUAGUCAUGGUUUUAAUUGCGGUGAGGCUGUGAAUUUUGCGAUUGGUGACUGGUUCCCGUUGGGAUCAAUAGCUACACGUCGUUAUGCACUUCUUAACAGGACACCUUUGAUUCCUCACGAGGAACUUUUGUGUAAAGAAGCUAUGCUUAUUUCAUCAGUUGGUGAUUAUGGAGAUUUAGAAUGGCGUUCUGUAGAUAAUGCAUCUAGACUUACCUCAUUUGUUACUCAAGCAUAGGUAUUGUUAUGUUAAUCCAACUCUCCAAGUGAUGUGGCUGAUUUGCUUGACCAACAUAUUAAAAAGGGCGAGAUCAUCGAAAGGAUUUGGAGGGGUGAAAUGGGUGUUGCUCAUGUUGAGAAAGCGGAGAAGGUAGUUGAACCGACACUUCCGAACGGAAAUGAUCUGAAGGCGAUCACAAGAGACGAGAAGGAAAACACUAGAGGCUGUUGUCAAGGUGCCAAUGGAUUCUCAUGCUGCAAAGUUGAUGAUUCAGAAGCGAAAAAAGGAUGGGAAAAAAUCAACCUACAAGUUUGACUUCUUCACUAGAAAGUGGGAGCAACACGAGAUUUACACAGCUUCUGUUGUAGUUGGAGCUGUGGCAACUGUAGCUGUGGCAUAUAGCCUUUAUAAAAGAACAUGGUGAGUUUUGCAAUGAGAAAGUGACCUUCAAGAGGGUGUUCAGGUACAACCCUUUUAAAUUUGCGUUCGCCGUUGAUGGAACUCUCCAUGUUUUGCUUUUAGUGGUGUUGUGCUUGACGGUUAAUUCAUGUUCAGGUCUUUUAUAUUUGGUAAAAUCGGGGUCUGCCGGGUUUUGAGGGUUUCUUACUUUGUAUAGUCUUUAGGUAUAUUGUGAAUUUGUUUAUACAUUGAUGUAAACACAUACCUUUUUUAAGUGUAGUUUUUGGUGGAGCAUUGGAUCGGUUAUCAAGCUCCAUUUGCUAAAGUUUGAAGGCAUGGCUAACCCACUAAUGCUAUCCAUUCUUGGCUGGAUUCAGCAUUUGCCUGACCAACAUAUUAAGCAUAUUAAAAAGGGCGAGAUCAUCGAAAGGAUUUCGAGUUUACGAGUUGGAGGAAAAUGACAAGAUUUAAAACCUUUUGGAUCCAGAUGCGAAACAACAAACCUUUGGACGAAAUUCGCAAAAGUAGUCAAACCUCAGGGACGAAAAUGGCAUUUUACUCGAUAAAUUUACGUUGAGUUCAUAUAUAUUUACGUUACAUCAUACCCAAAUUUCAUCAUUUGCAGGCCCAAUAUUGGCUUUGAAAGUUUUUCACCAUAUUUGGUAAUCUUUUUCAUUUUUAUUGUAAAAACAAGCUAUUCGUUGAAUUUAUAUUUACGCAUUUAUUUAUGCCUAAAUUGCAUUGAAGUC
Molecule: long non-coding RNA, 2344 nt
Organism: Helianthus annuus (common sunflower)
Lineage: Eukaryota; Viridiplantae; Streptophyta; Magnoliopsida; Asterales; Asteraceae
Exons: 12
Source: RefSeq, a predicted model, not a curated record